AAAUUAGUUGGAAAAUUCGAGUAAAAAGGAAAGGAUGGAAAAGCUGCAUCAGAGAACUUAAAAACAGAAGAGAUAAAAUCCAAUUCAAAUCCCUGAUGAUGACUAUCGAAGAUAGUCGAAAUAUCGGAAAAAUAAAUUAAAAU
Musca domestica (house fly) is the source of this 143-nucleotide long non-coding RNA. RefSeq lists it as uncharacterized. The record is from RefSeq and is a predicted model, not a curated record. NCBI's taxonomy places the organism in Eukaryota, Metazoa, Arthropoda, Insecta, Diptera, Muscidae. The transcript has 2 exons.